GCCGGAUUAGCUCAGUGGUUAGAGCGUCUGUCUUGUAAACAGAAGGUCGCAGGUUCGAUCCCUGCAUUCGGCA
Molecule: non-coding RNA, 73 nt
Organism: Onchocerca ochengi
Lineage: Eukaryota; Metazoa; Nematoda; Chromadorea; Rhabditida; Onchocercidae
Source: Rfam